GUACACUCCUACGGGAGGCAGCAGUGGGGAAUUUUGGACAAUGGGCGAAAGCCUGAUCCAGCAAUGCCGCGUGAGUGAAGAAGGCCUUCGGGUUGUAAAGCUCUUUUGUCAGGGAAGAAACGGUGAAAGCUAAUAUCUUUUGCUAAUGACGGUACCUGAAGAAUAAGCACCGGCUAACUACGUGCCAGCAGCCGCGGUAAUACGUAGGGUGCAAGCGUUAAUCGGAAUUACUGGGCGUAAAGCGUGCGCAGGCGGUUUUGUAAGUCUGAUGUGAAAUCCCCGGGCUCAACCUGGGAAUUGCAUUGGAGACUGCAAGGCUAGAAUCUGGCAGAGGGGGGUAGAAUUCCACGUGUAGCAGUGAAAUGCGUAGAUAUGUGGAGGAACACCGAUGGCGAAGGCAGCCCCCUGGGUCAAGAUUGACGCUCAUGCACGAAAGCGUGGGGAGCAAACAGGAUUAGAUACCCUUGUAGUCC
RNAcentral lists this ribosomal RNA (473 nucleotides) under uncultured organism. RNAcentral's name for it is "partial 16S ribosomal RNA". It matches the Rfam family "Bacterial small subunit ribosomal RNA", at positions 331 to 796 of the family's 1533-position model. The record is from RNAcentral.